AUGAAGAGCAGGAGGCAGAACGGCCGCGGAGGAGCCGCCGCCGGCGCCAUGGCGCUGGACGGGAGCCACCACACCACAAGCAGCGGCUGCGGCGCCGGUGGGGUAGGAGGAGGAGGAGGUUGCAGCAAGAUGGAGCGCAAGGAGGUGGAGAAGAACCGGCGGCUGCACAUGAAGGGCCUCUGCCUCAAGCUCUCCUCCCUCCUCCCCGCCUCCUCCUCAGACCACCACCUCCGCCAUUAUUCCACUUCUUCCUCUUCCUCGCCGCCCUCCAGCAGCAAGGACGCGGCGACGCAGCUGGAUCAGCUGGACAGCGCGGCGGCCUACAUCAACCAGCUCCGGGGCCGCAUCGACGACCUCAAGCGCCGCAAGCAGGCCGCCCUCUCCGGCGGCUGCUCAUCCUCCGUCUCCGCCGGCGACUACAAGCCACAGACUACGGCGUCGCUGCCGGUGAUCGAGGUUAGGCACCAGGACGGGACUCUGGACGUGGCGCUGGCGAGCGAGGCCGGGCGGCCCUUCCGGUUGCACGAGGUGAUGGCGGUGCUUGAGCAGGAGGGCGCUGAGGUGAUCAGCGCCAGCUUCUCCGUGGUGGGCGACAAGAUCUUCUACACGGUCCACUCGCAGGCGCUCUGCCCCCGCAUCGGCCUCGACGCCGGCCGCGUCGCCCAGAGGCUGCGCGGCCUCGCCGCAGCCGCCACCGUCUCGUCCCUCCUGACAUGA
Molecule: ribosomal RNA, 717 nt
Filed under: Triticum aestivum (bread wheat)
Lineage: Eukaryota; Viridiplantae; Streptophyta; Magnoliopsida; Poales; Poaceae
Description: partial small subunit ribosomal RNA
Source: RNAcentral